RNAcentral lists this transfer-messenger RNA (357 nucleotides) under Actinomycetota bacterium. It matches the Rfam family "transfer-messenger RNA". Rfam says of the family: Bacterial tmRNA, also known as 10Sa RNA or SsrA, is named for its dual tRNA and mRNA-like properties. The record is from RNAcentral. Lineage: Bacteria; Bacillati; Actinomycetota.
GGGGACGACAGGCUUCGACGCGGUCGAUCUCGGAGGGUUGGUUGCGAGUCGAGGUGCCGGAGGCCUCGUAAAAACCGGCAAAACCAUAAGUGCGGACUCUCACGAGUUCAGCCUCGUCUAGCACUAGCUAAGUCGAGGUUCCCGAGCACCGAUCGCCUGCGGCGGUGACCAUCGGGAUCAGAAAGCAGGCUCGCCCGAGGCGUCCGCUCCCGCCGCCUCGGGGACUCUCAGGGAGCUGGCUCCCCGCAACCCCGCCGGCGCGGCGACCGGGGAGCGAGAUACUGAGCGCCGGCUACGCUCGUAGAAGCCAACCCAACGCGACCGCGGACGCGGGUUCGAUUCCCGCCGUCUCCACUU